AGCGAACAUUGGCGGUAGGCUUAACACAUGCAAGUCGAGCGAGGCGUAAUAGUCGAGCGGCGAACGGGUGCGUAAUACAUGGGAAUCUACCCUGAAGUGGGGGAUAACGUCCAGAAAUGGACGCUAAUACCGCAUAAUCCACAUUGGGAAAGCGUUGCAGCGCUUUAGGAUGAGCCCGUGGCUGAUUAGCUAGUUGGUGAGGUAAUGGCUCACCAAGGCGACGAUCAGUAGCUGGUCUGAGAGGAUGACCAGCCACACUGGACCUGAGACACGGUCCAGACUCCUACGGGAGGCAGCAGUGGGGAAUCUUGCGCAAUGGGGGCAACCCUGACGCAGCCAUACCGCGUGAGUGAUGAAGGUCUUCGGAUUGUAAAGCUCUUUCGGCGGGGACGACGAUGACGGUACCCGCAAAAGAAGUCACGGCUAACUUCGUGCCAGCAGCCGCGGUAA
Molecule: ribosomal RNA, 450 nt
Filed under: uncultured bacterium
Lineage: Bacteria
Description: partial 16S ribosomal RNA
Rfam family: Bacterial small subunit ribosomal RNA
Source: RNAcentral